UGGUGUUUAAAGUAUAGUGGAACCACAUUGAUCCAUCUCGAACUCAAAAGUGAAACAUUAUAACAGCGACAAUACUAAAGAGGGGGCUCUUUGGAAAGAUAGCUUAUGCCAAGAUU
RNAcentral lists this ribosomal RNA (116 nucleotides) under Prionitis livida. RNAcentral also lists the same sequence under 1 other name. Lineage: Eukaryota; Rhodophyta; Florideophyceae; Halymeniales; Halymeniaceae. The record is from RNAcentral.